UGUAAGGAGAAUAGUACAAUGCGAAAGACGUCGAGUCGAAGUAGGGAAGUCAUCGGAAUCCACCAGCCUGAAGAACUGGAAUCCACCAGAAGUUGAGAAGAAGACAAGAAAGAACGAGAUCCGAAAAGGAAGAAGAAGAAAUGAAUGCCUGAAGAAUAUCUGGGAAAAAAUGAACUGCCUCCUUCUUCUUGCGCUCUCCGUUUUAUAGAGGCUUGAAGUUCGUUAGUCGGUUACAGAAGUAGUAACUGACUUAUUCUUGCUGGCUCCUGCAUCAGGCGUCUCCUCUUCAGAAUCAAUCGUCCUCGAAUGACUGUAACUUGGCUCUUCCUCAGCUGGAUAGUACUUCCGUAAAUCUGAAACACUGAAAGUACUUGAAAUAUUGAAUUCUGCUGGUAAGUCUACAAUGUACGUAUUGUCAUUUAUUUUUCACAUCACUUGGCAUGGGCCGAAAUUGCGAUUUCUCAACUUAGAGUAACUUAUGGUGGGAAAUCUUUCUUUUCUUAAGUGUACCAUUACGUUUUCGCCGACUGUAAACUUUAUUUCUCUUCUCCGACGAUCCGUUGUUUCUUUAUAAUU
RNAcentral lists this long non-coding RNA (576 nucleotides) under Zostera marina. RNAcentral's name for it is "long non-coding RNA (ZMAR_LNC003426)". Lineage: Eukaryota; Viridiplantae; Streptophyta; Magnoliopsida; Alismatales; Zosteraceae. The record is from RNAcentral.